UACGGAGGGUGCAAGCGUUAUCCGGAUUCACUGGGUUUAAAGGGUGCGUAGGUUGACCGGAAAGUCAGUGGUGAAAUACCCUCGCUUAACGAGGGAACUGCCGUUGAUACUAUCGGUCUUGAAUACGGUGGAGGCGGGCGGAAUGUGUCAUGUAGCGGUGAAAUGCUUAGAUAUGACACAGAACACCUAUUGCGAAGGCAGCUCGCUACGCCGUCAUUGACACUGAGGCACGAAAGCGUGGGGAUCAAACAGG
Molecule: ribosomal RNA, 253 nt
Filed under: uncultured bacterium
Lineage: Bacteria
Description: partial 16S ribosomal RNA
Rfam family: Bacterial small subunit ribosomal RNA
Source: RNAcentral